GAUGUAGAGCUGGCGGUGCCUGACGGCGCGUCUGACGCGGAGUUGGGUGGGGUAGAGAGUAGGGGGCGGUAGUCGGGGGUGGUGGGAGAAGGAGGAGGCGGCGGCGAAUCACUUAUAAAUGGCGCCGAAGCAGGACCUGAAGCCUAAAUUCCAGGAGGGUGAGCGGGUGCUGUGCUUUCAUGGACCUCUGCUUUAUGAAGCAAAGUGUGUAAAGGUUGCCAUAAAGGACAAACAAGUGAAAUAUUUUAUACAUUACAGUGGUUGGAAUAAAAAUUGGGAUGAAUGGGUUCCAGAAAGCAGAGUACUCAAAUACGUGGACACCAAUCUGCAGAAACAGCGAGAACUUCAAAAAGCCAAUCAGGAGCAGUAUGCAGAGGGGAAGAUGAGAGGGGCUGCCCCAGGAAAGAAGACAUCUGGUCUGCAACAGAAAAAUGUUGAAGUGAAAACAAAAAAGAACAAGCAGAAAACACCUGGAAAUGGAGAUGGUGGCAGUACCAGUGAGACACCUCAGCCUCCUCGCAAGAAAAGGGCCCGAGUAGAUCCUACUGUUGAAAACGAGGAAACAUUCAUGAACAGAGUUGAAGUUAAAGUCAAGAUUCCUGAAGAACUGAAACCAUGGCUUGUUGAUGACUGGGACUUA
This is a non-coding RNA of Ceratotherium simum simum (southern white rhinoceros), 640 nucleotides long. NCBI's taxonomy places the organism in Eukaryota, Metazoa, Chordata, Mammalia, Perissodactyla, Rhinocerotidae. The record is from RefSeq and is a predicted model, not a curated record.